AACGAACGCUGGCGGCAUGCCUAACACAUGCAAGUCGAACGAGACCUUCGGGUCUAGUGGCGCACGGUUGCGUAACGCGUGGGAACCUGCCCUUAGGUUCGGAAUAACUCCCCGACAGGGGUGCUAAUACCGGAUAAUGUCUUCGGACCAAAGAUUUAUCGCCUUUGGAUGGGCCCGCGUUGGAUUAGCUCGUUGGUAGGGUAAAAGCCUACCAAGGCGACGAUCCAUAGCUGGUCUGCGAGGAUGAUCAGCCACACUGGGACUGAGACACGGCCCAGACUCCUACGGGAGGCAGCAGUGGGGAAUAUUGGACAAUGGGCGAAAGGCUGAUCCAGCAAGGCCGCGUGAGUGAUGAAGGCCUUAGGGUUGUAAAGCUCUUUUAACCGGGAUGAUAAUGACAGUACCGAGAGAAUAAGCUCCGGCUAACUCCGUG
RNAcentral lists this ribosomal RNA (433 nucleotides) under uncultured bacterium. RNAcentral describes it as "partial 16S ribosomal RNA". It matches the Rfam family "Bacterial small subunit ribosomal RNA", at positions 29 to 507 of the family's 1533-position model. The record is from RNAcentral.